This 518-nucleotide ribosomal RNA is filed under the name uncultured bacterium. RNAcentral's name for it is "bacterial SSU rRNA". It matches the Rfam family "Bacterial small subunit ribosomal RNA", at positions 53 to 564 of the family's 1533-position model. The record is from RNAcentral.
ACAUGCAAGUCGAGCGGUAACAGGCGUAGCAAUACGUGCUGACGAGCGGCGAACGGGUGAGUAACGCUUCGGAAUCUGCCCAAUGGUGGGGAAUAACCAGCCGAAAGGUUGGCUAAUACCGCAUGAGCCCUUCGGGGGAAAGCGGGGGAUCGCAAGACCUCGCGCCGAUGGAUGAGCCGAAGUCGGAUUAGCUUGUUGGUAGGGUAACGGCCUACCAAGGCGACGAUCCGUAGCUGGUCUGAGAGGACGACCAGCCACACUGGGACUGAGACACGGCCCAGACUCCUACGGGAGGCAGCAGUGGGGAAUAUUGGACAAUGGGGGAAACCCUGAUCCGGCGACGCCGCGUGUGUGAAGAAGGCCUGCGGGUUGUAAAGCACUUUUAGUGGGGAUGAAAAGCUCAGGGCUAACACCUCUGGGUCUUGACCUAACCCACAGAAAAAGCACCGGCUAACUCUGUGCCAGCAGCCGCGGUAAUACAGAGGGUGCAAGCGUUAAUCGGAAUUACUGGGCGUAAA